GUGGGAGCCAGCCUGCUGGCGAUAGCGGUUUAUCAGUCGCCAUUCAGGGUGACUGAUGCAUUGCAAUCGCCAGCAGGCUGGCUCCCAC
This 88-nucleotide unclassified non-coding RNA is filed under the name Pseudomonas granadensis. Lineage: Bacteria; Pseudomonadati; Pseudomonadota; Gammaproteobacteria; Pseudomonadales; Pseudomonadaceae. The record is from RNAcentral.